GGGGCUAACAAACCACUCCCACUAGUUGAACUCGACGCCCUCGUCGAGGUUGAUCUCAAGUAGUCCUCAAUUUGAUCUUCGAAUUGCCACAACGAAUUCCGUUUCUCCCAAGUUGCAUCUGACUCGGGCUUGCCUUUCCAUAGAAUCAAAAACUCUGUUCGCCUAAUCUUUUUGUGCAUACCAAGUAUCCGGUGGUCCAGAAUUUUCUCAAUCUCGUGUCCUCAAUCUGAUUGCGCAUUUC
This 241-nucleotide long non-coding RNA is filed under the name Nicotiana benthamiana. RNAcentral describes it as "long non-coding RNA (NBEN_LNC012743)". Lineage: Eukaryota; Viridiplantae; Streptophyta; Magnoliopsida; Solanales; Solanaceae. The record is from RNAcentral.